GAAAGGCUGUGAUUCGCCAAUUACAGCUGGGUGUUUUACCGAGGCACCCCAAUUAGG
Ruminococcus sp. SR1/5 is the source of this 57-nucleotide non-coding RNA. The record is from Rfam. Lineage: Bacteria; Bacillati; Bacillota; Clostridia; Eubacteriales; Oscillospiraceae.